UACAGAUAAUAUAAUGCAUAAAACAUAAAUUCUGCAAAAAUGAUUAACUAAUAAAACUUCCUAAAGCUGGACUCAAGUCAUGAAAAAUAUAUACGACUAGUUGAGAUCUUAAUCCUAUCUACAGAAUUAAACUAAUACAAAAAAUCUAAACAGGCUAUCUAUCCAUUGAAGUCCACAAAAGUAUAAAUUUCAUGUUGAAAUUGGUUAUCUGUUAGUUGUUAAAGAUAAAGUAAAUCAAAAUAAACUACAUGUGUACUGUAUAUCCAGGUAGGUUUUCAAUUUUUUUAACAUUGGGAAAUUAGCUAUAAAAUAAUUUUGGCUACAAAAUAAUGUGCACUCCAAAAUUGUAUUGUCAUAAUUAUAUUUUCCUUUGAGAUACAUGAACGUUUGUGAUAAUAAAAGUCAGCUGUUGUUUUUAUAAUUCUCAUACAAAAGUGAAAUGAACAUCAAUAUAGGUGUAAAAUUUUAAUUCAAAAGGAGUGUUUCAAAAUUUGAACAUGUCAGAACUACUUUCAAAAUUUUAGUAAUAUUUUAACCAUAAACAUGUUGUUUUUUUUUAUUUGAGGAAAAUGUGAUAUGCACAUUUAAUUAUGUUGCUGAAUAACUUUACUUUAACAGAAAGUUCAUGCUAAAAGUCUUUGUAAAGACUGUGGACUCAUUAAUUCUUUUUGUGAAAAAAAUCCUGUUUCUACUCAUUAUCUUUCCCAGUAAUUGAUUGAAUAUUUUUUAAGGUGAAGAAAUAAAAGGGAGCUUUUACUACAGUAGAUAUGUAUCAAUGUAAGUUCUCACAAUAGGUACACAUUACUCAUGAUAGCCUAUAGUCAACACAUUAAGGAAGAAAAAAGUUUUUGGCCAAAGCAUAGCUUUUCAUAAAAAAAACACCAUAAUAUAAGAGUAGUUAAGUCAUGUUUUAAUGAUAUUUGAUGUAUCAUAACCAGUCUUCACUAAAACUUGUUGAUUUGCAAGACUAAUAAUUGGUCUUUCUUUCAUAAAAUUUGUUAAAUAUUUUAUGUCUUGUAAGGCCUAGUACACGGCAGAAUACAUUUCCCUGGGCUGUAGAGAUUGUGGUAAAUUGUGAAGACUGGGCAACAUUGAAAUAUAGAUGAAACUAAAUGCUAGUUGUGAAAUACAAUGUGCAUUGACUGUGCAUGACAUGAUAAAAAAUAAUAACCAUCUUGCACACUUUUGCAACCAUAGAAACUCAUCGACAAUGUAUAUCAUGUUAUCUAUAAUACUAAAAUAACGAGGUCAAAAAAUAACUUUAUAUAUAGCUAAUAUAGGACAAUGGUGUAGAUUAAAAAUUACACCACUCCAGACCCUUUUGUUUUACACAUAAUUAAUAUUGCCAAUAAUUAACAAGUUCCGGGUCGAAUCUGAUACCAUUAUCAAUAGUAUAUUCACCCGUUACCUAUUAUCUUAUCUGUACGCUCCGCAUCUGACAGGCGCUCCACCAAAGUUUAAUGGUGUAUUUAGGAUUUUGCAAUAUACACAAGCCAUAAUCACAGGGUUGACACUACUAAAUUCAAUCAUUGUCAAAUUGUUUCCUAUUGCAGUAUUUUAAUCAGCAAGACUUUCUAAGAUAACAAUACGAAUACUAAAAAUCUGGACUUAAAAUAAGUACAGUUUUCAAUUUGUUAGCGAGCAUGACGUAAAAAAGCGAAUCAAAGAAUUCAACUUUAUUUAUAAUUAAUAAAGAACAAUACUGUUGAUUAAAAAAUAUUCUAUUCCAG
Molecule: long non-coding RNA, 1730 nt
Filed under: Mytilus galloprovincialis (Mediterranean mussel)
Lineage: Eukaryota; Metazoa; Mollusca; Bivalvia; Mytilida; Mytilidae
Source: RNAcentral